GGAUCAAUAAACAGGGAGUUGCCUUGGAAUCUAUUCUGAGGAGGAAAGUCCGAACAUCAUAGGGAAAAACCUUCUAAGAAAUUAGAAUCCGCUUCCGCGGAUGGCCAGUGCCGCAGAAAAGAUACCGUCCCGUUUUUACGGGAUAAGGGUGAAAAGGCGAGGUAAGAGCUCACCACCUGUUUCCAUAUUGGAACGCCGAUGGCGCCGAAAGGGCGGGGUAAGGUAAACCCGGUUUGAUGCAAGGCCAAAUAGGAGUAUAUAGUGUUCUGUGCGGUGUCCCGCCGUAUGUAUCUUCGGAUACGUAUACUCGGGUAGGUCGCUUAAGUGUCGCGGCAACGCGGCAUUAAGAUAAAUAACUCCCCCCUUUAAAGGGUACAGAAUUCGGCUUAUUCUAUUGAUCCGGAU
Molecule: RNase P RNA, 405 nt
Filed under: Caldithrix abyssi
Lineage: Bacteria; Pseudomonadati; Calditrichota; Calditrichia; Calditrichales; Calditrichaceae
Description: RNase P RNA component class A
Rfam family: Bacterial RNase P class A
About the family: Ribonuclease P (RNase P) is a ubiquitous endoribonuclease, found in archaea, bacteria and eukarya as well as chloroplasts and mitochondria.
Source: RNAcentral